RNAcentral lists this long non-coding RNA (1144 nucleotides) under Chrysemys picta bellii (western painted turtle). Its description in RNAcentral is "lncRNA (ENSCPBG00000016661.1)". Lineage: Eukaryota; Metazoa; Chordata; Testudines; Emydidae. The record is from RNAcentral.
AACUUCCUGAAAAAGCACAAGAACAAAUCUGCACAGACACACCCCUAGAACCCUGACCAGGGGUAUUCUAUCUGCUACCCAAGAUCCAUAAAACUGGCAAUCCUGGAUGCCCCAUCAUCUCAGGCAUUGGCACCCUGUUAGCAGGACUGUCUGGCUAUGUAGACUCUCUCCUCAGGCCCUACGCUACCAGCACUCCUAGCUAUCUUUGAGACACUACUGACUUCCUGAGGAAACUACAAUCCAUUGGUGAUCUUCCAGAAAACACCAUCCUGGCCACUAUGGAUGUAGAAGCCCUCUACACCAACAUGCCACACAAAGAUGGACUACAAGCCGUCAGGAAUAGUAUCCCGAUAAUGUCAUGGCAAACCUGGUAGCUGAACUUUGUGACUUUGUCCUCACCCACAACUAUUUCACAUUUGGGGACAAUGUAUACCUUCAAGUCAGCGGCACUGCUAUGGCUACCUGCAUGGCCCCACAGUAUGCCAACAUUUUUAUGGCUGACUUAGAACGCUUCCUCAGUUCUCGUCCCCUAACACCCCUCCUCUACUUGCCCUACAUUGAUGACAUCUUCAACAUCUGGACCCAUGGAAAAGAAGCCCUUGAGGAAUUCCACCAUGAUUUCAACAGUUUCCAUUCCACCAUCAACCUCUGCCUGGACCAGCCCACACAAGAGAUCCACUUCCUGAACACUACAGUGCUAAUAAGCGAUGGUCACAUAAACAUCACUCUAUACCAGAAACCUACUGACCGCUAUACUUACCUAUAUGCCUCCAGCUUUCAUCCAGACCACACCACACGAUUCAUUGUCUACAGCCAAGCUCUGAAAUAUAACUGCAUUUGCUCCAACCCCUCAGACAGAGACAAACACCUACAAGAUCUCUAUCAAGCAUUCUUACAACUACAAUACCCACCUGCUGACGUGAAGAAACAGAUUGACAGAGACAGAAGAGUACCCAGAAGUCACCUACUACAGGACAGGCCCAACAAAGAAAGUAACAGCCCCCAACUAAAACCUCUCCAGUGCAUCAUCAAGGAUCUACAACCUAUCCUGAAGGACAAUCCCUCACUCUCACAGAUCUUGGGAGACAGGCCGGUCCUCACUUACAGACAGCCCCCCAACCUGAAGCAAAUACUCAGCAGCAAC